AAUGAUUAAGAAGAAAAUUUCUUAU
RNAcentral lists this transfer RNA (25 nucleotides) under Drosophila ambochila. Its description in RNAcentral is "tRNA-Tyr". The record is from RNAcentral. Lineage: Eukaryota; Metazoa; Arthropoda; Insecta; Diptera; Drosophilidae.